RNAcentral lists this ribosomal RNA (441 nucleotides) under uncultured bacterium. RNAcentral describes it as "partial 16S ribosomal RNA". It matches the Rfam family "Bacterial small subunit ribosomal RNA", at positions 338 to 795 of the family's 1533-position model. The record is from RNAcentral.
CCUACGGGAGGCAGCAGUGGGGGAUAUUGCACAAUGGGGGAAACCCUGAUGCAGCGACGCCGCGUGGGUGAAGAAGUAUUUCGGUAUGUAAAGCCCUAUCAGCAGGGAAGAAAGAAGACGGUACCUGACUAAGAAGCCCCGGCUAACUACGUGCCAGCAGCCGCGGUAAUACGUAGGGGGCGAGCGUUAUCCGGAUUCACUGGGUGUAAAGGGAGCGUAGACGGCCGUGCAAGCCAGGAGUGAAAGCCCGGGGCCCAACCCCGGGACUGCACUUGGAAGUGUGCGGCUGGAGUGCGGGAGGGGCAGGCAGAAUUCCAGGUGUAGCGGUGAAAUGCGUAGAGAUCUGGAGGAACACCGGCGGCGAAGGCGGCCUGCUGGACCGCGACUGACGUUGAGGCUCGAAAGCGUGGGGAGCGAACAGGAUUAGAUACCCUAGUAGUC